AACGAACGCUGGCGGCAUGCCUAACACAUGCAAGUCGAACGAGACCUUCGGGACUAGUGGCGCACGGGUGCGUAACGCGUGGGAACCUGCCCUUAGGUUCGGAAUAACUCCCUGAAAGGGGUGCUAAUACCGGAUAAUGUCUUCGGAUCAAAGAUUUAUCGCCUUUGGAUGGGCCCGCGUUGGAUUAGCUAGUUGGUAGGGUAAAAGCCUACCAAGGCGACGAUCCAUAGCUGGUCUGAGAGGAUGAUCAGCCACACUGGGACUGAGACACGGCCCAGACUCCUACGGGAGGCAGCAGUGGGGAAUAUUGGACAAUGGGCGAAAGCCUGAUCCAGCAAUGCCGCGUGAGUGAUGAAGGCCUUAGGGUUGUAAAGCUCUUUUACCCGGGAUGAUAAUGACAGUACCGGGAGAAUAAGCUCCGGCUAACUCCGUG
RNAcentral lists this ribosomal RNA (433 nucleotides) under uncultured bacterium. RNAcentral describes it as "partial 16S ribosomal RNA". It matches the Rfam family "Bacterial small subunit ribosomal RNA", at positions 29 to 507 of the family's 1533-position model. The record is from RNAcentral.